UGUGCUGGGCCUGGCUCGCGGCGAACCGAGAUGGCAGAGCAGUCGGACGAGGCCGUGAAGUACUACACCCUAGAGGAGAUUCAGAAGCACAACCACAGCAAGAGCACCUGGCUGAUCCUGCACCACAAGGUGUACGAUUUGACCAAAUUUCUGGAAGAGCAUCCUGGUGGGGAAGAAGUUUUAAGGGAACAAGCUGGAGGUGACGCUACUGAGAACUUUGAGGAUGUCGGGCACUCUACAGAUGCCAGGGAAAUGUCCAAAACAUUCAUCAUUGGGGAGCUCCAUCCAGUAAACCAAAGUUAAACAAGCCUCCGGAAACUCUUAUCACUACUAUUGAUUCUAGUUCCAGUUGGUGGACCAACUGGGUGAUCCCUGCCAUCUCUGCAGUGGCCGUCGCCUUGAUGUAUCGCCUAUACAUGGCAGAGGACUGAACACCUCCUCAGAAGUCAGCGCAGGAAGAGCCUGCUUUGGACACGGGAGAAAAGAAGCCAUUGCUAACUACUUCAACUGACAGAAACCUUCACUUGAAAACAAUGAUUUUAAUAUAUCUCUUUCUUUUUCUUCCGACAUUAGAAACAAAACAAAAAGAACUGUCCUUUCUGCGCUCAAAUUUUUCGAGUGUGCCUUUUUAUUCAUCUACUUUAUUUUGAUGUUUCCUUAAUGUGUAAUUUACUUAUUAUAAGCAUGAUCUUUUAAAAAUAUAUUUGGCUUUUAAAGU
This 718-nucleotide long non-coding RNA is filed under the name Homo sapiens (human). RNAcentral describes it as "long non-coding RNA NONHSAT178631.1". The record is from RNAcentral. Lineage: Eukaryota; Metazoa; Chordata; Mammalia; Primates; Hominidae.